CCUACGGGUGGCUGCAGUGGGGAAUAUUGCACAAUGGGCGCAAGCCUGAUGCAGCCAUGCCGCGUGUGUGGAGAAGGCCUUCGGGUUGUAAAGCACUUUCAGCGGGGAGGAAGGCGGUGAGGUUAAUAACCUCAUCGAUUGACGUUACCCGCAGAAGAAGCACCGGCUAACUCCGUGCCAGCAGCCGCGGUAAUACGGAGGGUGCAAGCGUUAAUCGGAAUUACUGGGCGUAAAGCGCACGCAGGCGGUCUGUCAAGUCGGAUGUGAAAUCCCCGGGCUCAACCUGGGAACUGCAUUCGAAACUGGCAGGCUAGAGUCUUGUAGAGGGGGGUAGAAUUCCAGGUGUAGCGGUGAGAUGCGUAGAGAUCUGGAGGAAUACCGGUGGCGAAGGCGGCCCCCUGGACAAAGACUGACGCUCAGGUGCGAAAGCGUGGGGAGCAAACAGGAUUAGAUACCCGAGUAGUC
Molecule: ribosomal RNA, 465 nt
Filed under: uncultured Klebsiella sp.
Lineage: Bacteria; Pseudomonadati; Pseudomonadota; Gammaproteobacteria; Enterobacterales; Enterobacteriaceae
Description: bacterial SSU rRNA
Rfam family: Bacterial small subunit ribosomal RNA
Source: RNAcentral